This 91-nucleotide transfer RNA is filed under the name Apiosordaria backusii. RNAcentral's name for it is "tRNA-Pro". Lineage: Eukaryota; Fungi; Ascomycota; Sordariomycetes; Sordariales; Lasiosphaeriaceae. RNAcentral also lists the same sequence under 2 other names. The record is from RNAcentral.
GGGCCGCUGGUCUAGUGGUAUGAUUCUCGCUUAGGGUACACCCUACAGCAAUGUUUGCGAGAGGUCCCGGGUUCAAUCCCCGGGUGGCCCC